ACCGUCUUUGUCAGGGGGUGAGCAAUUAUCCAAUGAACGCAAAGUGAGGGUAAUUCUGCUGACACCUGCACCAACACUUUACCGCGUCGCCUGCCGCUAGCCGGUGGGUCGGGCGCAAUUUUUGGGACC
Molecule: non-coding RNA, 129 nt
Organism: Branchiostoma floridae (Florida lancelet)
Lineage: Eukaryota; Metazoa; Chordata; Leptocardii; Amphioxiformes; Branchiostomatidae
Source: Rfam